CGCUCCAUGUCAGCUGUGUGCAGCACAAAUCUGCUGCUCCAUAGUUCAUGGUAAUGAACUCAUAGCUGGACCAACGAGGCCUUUAGAUGCUCAUCUGCCAUUUUGUAUGUGUAUGUACUUCAACCCAAUCAAAGCAUAGCUUUGUGGUGAGCAUAAUCUUAAAACAGGUGCCAACCUCAAAGGUGAGCUUUCUUUUUUCAAAAUUUCACAAGACUUUUUUGAGAACGUUUCUGAAUCUGAAAGCAUUUGUUUUUCUUAUGAAAUUAUCUUCUUUUUUUUGUUGGUAUAUUGCACGGAGCUCCCUUUCUGGCUGGGACUGCUUACUGACUUAUUGCAGUAACUUCUUCAAACACUUUGAGGUGAAGGUAGAAAGUGUGUGUGAGCUGAUGUGAAUUGAGCAGCAUGGAUCAGUGUGAGGAC
This is a long non-coding RNA of Oreochromis aureus, 420 nucleotides long. RefSeq lists it as uncharacterized. The transcript has 3 exons. NCBI's taxonomy places the organism in Eukaryota, Metazoa, Chordata, Actinopteri, Cichliformes, Cichlidae. The record is from RefSeq and is a predicted model, not a curated record.